AGGGUUUGAUCCUGGCUCAGAACGUACGCUGGCGGCACGCCUAACACAUGCAAGUCGAACGCAGUAGCAAUACUGAGUGGCAGACGGGUGAGUAACAUGUGGGAAUCUGCCUUGUGGUUCAGGACAACAUUGGGAAACCGAUGCUAAUACUGGAUAAGCCCUUACGGGGAAAGUUUUAAUGCCAUAAGAUGAGCCCGCAUUUGAUUAGUUAGUUGGUGAGGUAAUGGCUCACCAAGACAAUGAUCAAUAGCUGAUCUGAGAGGAUGAUCAGCCACACUGGGACUGAGACACGGCCCAGACUCCUACGGGAGGCAGCAGUGGGGAAUCUUGCACAAUGGAGGAAACUCUGAUGCAGCGAUGCCGCGUGAGUGAAGAAGGCCUUUGGGUUGUAAAGCUCUUUUGUAGGGGAAGAUAAUGACUGUACCCUAAGAAUAAGGUCCGGCUAACUUCGUGCCAGCAGCCGCGGUAAUACGAAGGGACCUAGCGUAGUUCGGAAUUACUGGGCGUAAAGCGCGCGUAGGCCGUUGAGUUAGUUAAUUGUGAAAUCCCAAAGCUUAACUUUGGAACUGCAAUUAAAACUGCUCGACUAGAGUUUGAUAGAGGAAAGCGGAAUACAUAGUGUAGAGGUGAAAUUCGUAGAUAUUAUGUAGAACACCAGUUGCGAAGGCGGCUUUCUGGAUCAACACUGACGCUGAGGCGCGAAAGUAUGGGUAGCAAAGAGGAUUAGAUACCCUCGUAGUCCAUACCAUAAACGAUGAUUGCUAGAUGUUGGAAAUUUAUUUUCAGUAUCGCAGCUAACGCAUUAAGCAAUCCGCCUGGGGAGUACGACCGCAAGGUUAAAACUCAAAUGAAUUGACGGGGACCCGCACAAGCGGUGGAGCAUGUGGUUUAAUUCGAAGAUACGCGCAGAACCUUACCAACCCUUGACAUGUCUGUCGCGAGUUUAGGAAACUAGACUUUUCGGUUCGGCCGGACAGAACACAGGUGCUGCAUGGCUGUCGUCAGCUCGUGUCGUGAGAUGUUGGGUUAAGUCCCGCAACGAGCGCAACCCCUACUUUUAGUUGCCAUCAGGUCAUGCUGGGCACUCUGAAAGAACUGCCAGUGAUAAGCUGGAGGAAGGUGGGGAUGACGUCAAGUCCUCAUGGCCCUUAUGGGUAGGGCUUCACACGUCAUACAAUGGUGCGUACAGAGGGUUGCCAACCCGCGAGGGGGAGCUAAUCUCUUAAAACGCAUCGUAGUCCGGAUCGUAGUCUGCAACUCGACUACGUGAAGCUGGAAUCGCUAGUAAUCGCGGAUCAGCAUGUCGCGGUGAAUACGUUCCCGGGUCUUGUACACACCGCCCGUCACACCAUGGGAGUGGGUUUUGCCAGAAGCAGUUAGCCUAACCGCAAGGGGGGCGAUUGCCACGGCAGGGUUCAUGACUGGGGUGAAGUCGUAACAAGGUAGCCGUA
RNAcentral lists this ribosomal RNA (1451 nucleotides) under uncultured bacterium. RNAcentral describes it as "partial 16S ribosomal RNA". It matches the Rfam family "Bacterial small subunit ribosomal RNA". The record is from RNAcentral.